Molecule: ribosomal RNA, 440 nt
Filed under: uncultured bacterium
Lineage: Bacteria
Description: partial 16S ribosomal RNA
Rfam family: Bacterial small subunit ribosomal RNA
Source: RNAcentral
CCUCCUUUCUUCCUCCUUUUUUCCUCUUUCCCCCUUUUGUCCCCCCUGCUGCCGCGACGCCGCGUGAGUGAAGAAGUAUUUCGGUAUGUAAAGCUCUAUCAGUAGGGAAGAAAAUGACGGUACCUGACUAAGAAGCCCCGGCUAACUACGUGCCAGCAGCCGCGGUAAUACGUAGGGGGCAAGCGUUAUCCGGAUUUACUGGGUGUAAAGGGAGCGUAGACGGCAGAGCAAGUCUGAAGUGAAAGCCCGCGGCCCAACUGCGGGACUGCUUUGGAAACUGCCCGGCUAGAGUGCUGGAGAGGUAAGCGGAAUUCCUAGUGUAGCGGUGAAAUGCAUAGAUAUCACGCAGAACUCCGAUUGCGAAGGCAGCAUACCGGCGCCCAACUGACGCUGAAGCACGAAAGCGUGGGUAUCGAACAGGAUUAGAUACCCCAGUAGUC